Molecule: ribosomal RNA, 661 nt
Filed under: Drosophila hypocausta
Lineage: Eukaryota; Metazoa; Arthropoda; Insecta; Diptera; Drosophilidae
Description: eukaryotic LSU rRNA
Rfam family: Eukaryotic large subunit ribosomal RNA
Source: RNAcentral
GAAAUCAGUUCAGCACUAAGUCACUUUGUCUAUAUGGCAAAUGUGAGAUGCAGUGUAUGGAACGUCAAUAUUCUAGUAUGAGAAAUUAACGAUUUAAGUCCUUCUUAAAUGAGGCCAUUUACCCAUAGAGGGUGCCAGGCCCGUAUAACGUUAAUGAUUAUUAGAUGAUGUUUCCGAAGAGUCGUGUUGCUUGAUAGUGCAGCACUAAGUGGGUGGUAAACUCCAUCUAAAACUAAAUAUAACCAUGAGACCGAUAGUAAACAAGUACCGUGAGGGAAAGUUGAAAAGAACUCUGAAUAGAGAGUUAAAUAGUACGUGAAACUGCUUAGAGGUUAAGCCCGAUGAACCUGAAUAUCCGUUAUGGAAAAUUCAUCAUUAAAAUUGUAAUAUCUAAUCAAUAUUAUAAUGAUAGUGUGCAUUUUUUCCAUAUAAGGACAUUGUAAUCUAUUAGCAUGACUGGAAUUUAUCAAACAAUUUUGAUAAGAGUUUAUUUAAAUUAGAGUGCUUGCAUUUUAACAUAAAAUAAAUUUCAAAAUUUUGAUAAAGUGCUGAUAGAUUUAUAUGAGUACAGUGCGUUAAUUCUUCGGAAUUAUAUAAUGGCAUGAUUAUCAUUGAUUUUUGUGUUUAUUAUAAGCAUUUGUAUGAUUAACAAUGCGAAAGA